RNAcentral lists this small RNA (148 nucleotides) under Pongo abelii (Sumatran orangutan). RNAcentral describes it as "Metazoan signal recognition particle RNA (ENSPPYG00000036806.1)". The record is from Rfam by way of RNAcentral. Lineage: Eukaryota; Metazoa; Chordata; Mammalia; Primates; Hominidae.
GCUGGGUGUGGUGGUGCACGCUUGUAGUCCCAGCUACUCUGGAGGCUGAGGCAGGAGAAUUGCUUCAGCCCAGGAGGCAGAGGUUGCAGUGAGCCGAGAUCGCACCACUGCACUCCAGCCUGGGCAGUGGAGCAAGACCUUGUCUCAA